CAAUAGCAUAUAUUAAAGUUGUUGCAGUUAAAAGCUCGUAGUUGGAUUUUAAAGAAUUUACGUUUUGCUCCAUUUAGUUUUUACUUUAUGUGUUUUGUGAAACGUGUUCUUUAAAAUUUUGUCAGAUAUUCAUAGUUGCACUUAAUUGGGUGAUUAUUAUGAUUCCUUUACGGGGGUUAUGUGCUUGUUGGACCUAUUUGGUAGAGAUUGUGGAUUGAUUUCAUUCGUGGAUUCGGUUCUGCUUUAUUAAAUAACCGACAAGUAGAAUUCUGAUUCGUUUACUUUGAGUAAAUUAGAGUGUUCAAAGCAAGCUAAUUAUUUAAUUAGCAAUGAAUACUAUUAGCAUGGGAUAAUGGAACAAGACAUU
Molecule: ribosomal RNA, 367 nt
Filed under: uncultured eukaryote
Lineage: Eukaryota
Description: bacterial SSU rRNA
Rfam family: Eukaryotic small subunit ribosomal RNA
Source: RNAcentral